AGUGAACGCUGGCGGUAUGCCUAACACAUGCAAGUCGAACGGCAGCACAGUAAGAGCUUGCUCUCACGGGUGGCGAGUGGCGGACGAGUGCGGAAUACAUCGGAAUCUACUUUUUCGUGGGGGAUAACGUCUUGAAACUUACGCUAAUACCGCAUACGACCUACGGGUGAAAGCAGGGGAUCUUCUGACCUUUCGCGAUUGAAUUAGCCGAUCUCGGAUUCGCUAGUUGGCGGGGUAAAGGCCCACCAAGGCGACGAUCCGUAUCUGGUCUGAGAGGGUGAUCAGCCACACUGGAACAGAGAAACGGUACCGACUCCUACGGGAGGACGCAGUGCGGACUCUUGGACGAGGGGGGCAUGCCGGAUCCAGCACUACCGCGUGGAGGAAGAAGGACUUCGGGUUCUAAAGCCCUUUUGUUGGGAAAGAAAAACAGCAGGUUAAUCCCCCACUGUUAUGACGGUACCCAAAGAAUAAGCACCGGCUAACUUCGUG
RNAcentral lists this ribosomal RNA (492 nucleotides) under uncultured bacterium. RNAcentral's name for it is "partial 16S ribosomal RNA". It matches the Rfam family "Bacterial small subunit ribosomal RNA", at positions 29 to 507 of the family's 1533-position model. The record is from RNAcentral.